Molecule: long non-coding RNA, 227 nt
Filed under: Prunus persica (peach)
Lineage: Eukaryota; Viridiplantae; Streptophyta; Magnoliopsida; Rosales; Rosaceae
Description: long non-coding RNA (PPER_LNC007813)
Source: RNAcentral
UGUGCCACCACCAAGCCAUGAAUUUGGGCUUGAAUGAAAUGUGAGUAGAUAGAUAUGUUGCACUUCUGACUUCUGAUCAAGUGAUUGAUCGGCCAAGCAAGGAACCUCCUCUUGACCUAGGUUUUUUCACUUCCUCGGGCUCGAGGAUGGUUAAGCUUCGUAUGGAUGUUUUUGUGAUUUUUAGGUUUUUAAGUGAAAAAACGUGCGAUUAAAUUAAAUGUGUGUUU